CCCUGGUUAGCUCAGCCAGUAGAGCGCUCUACUGGAAAUGGAGGGGAUCCGGGUUGGAUACCCGGACAAGGCG
RNAcentral lists this transfer RNA (73 nucleotides) under Ixodes scapularis (black-legged tick). Its description in RNAcentral is "tRNA-Ser for anticodon GGA". It matches the Rfam family "tRNA". Rfam says of the family: Transfer RNA (tRNA) molecules are approximately 80 nucleotides in length. Their secondary structure includes four short double-helical elements and three loops (D, anti-codon, and T loops). Lineage: Eukaryota; Metazoa; Arthropoda; Arachnida; Ixodida; Ixodidae. The record is from RNAcentral.